GAUGAAGAACGCAGUGAAAUGCGAUACGUAAUGUGAAUUGCAGAAUUCAGUGAAUCAUCGAGUCUUUGAACGCACAUUGCGCCCCCUGGUAUUCCGGGGGGCAUGCCUGUCCGAGCGUCAUUGCUGCCCUCAAGCACGGCUUGUGUGUUGGGCCUCCGUCCUCCUCCCGGGGGACGGGCCCGAAAGGCAGCGGCGGCACCGCGUCCGGUCCUCGAGCGUAUGGGGCUUCGUCACCCGCUCUUGUAGGCCCCGCCGGCGCUUGCCGACACAUCAAUCUUUUUUCCAGGUUGACCUCGGAUCAGGUAGGGAUACCCGCUGAACUUAAGCAUAUCAAUAAGCGGAGGA
Molecule: unclassified non-coding RNA, 345 nt
Filed under: soil metagenome
Description: partial contains 5.8S ribosomal RNA, internal transcribed spacer 2, and large subunit ribosomal RNA
Rfam family: 5.8S ribosomal RNA (bases 1-120)
Source: RNAcentral